GUCCAGGUGUGCGCUCACCUUUGCUCCGUCUGUGAGGGCGCACCCUUCUAUAGAAGUAAAUUGCCUUGCUGAGAAGAAAAAAAAGAAAAUUUUAUAUUCGAGUGCUAUUUCUUUUGCGGCACUGGGGGGAAACUUUAUUUAUAACAAUUUGGGGGCUUGCUCGUGAUUACAUUCCCCUUCAGGGGCAGUCUCUGGUUCUCUCUCCUGAGGAGGUAUGCCCCACCCUCUUGUGAUGGCCUCAGGGGUGAGAAAUCAGGACUCACCCAGUGCAAGAAAUAACCUGAGCUCUCAGCAAUGUGAAAAGAAACCAGCAGGCAACCUAGGGUAAAGCAUCCUCACACACUGCAGAGACAACUCUGUGCACAGACAAAGGAAGAAGCCGAGGGAGCCGUUUGUCUCUUCCAGAAUCAAAGCUGUAAAACUACAAAUUGUUCUUCAAAUGGAGCCCCAGAUGCAGCCCAUGACUAAGAUCUACUGUGGACCCCUGGACCAGCCUGCUAGCCCACGCUCCAAUGUUGAUGACAUCAAAGGCACCCCUCCCAAGUAAAUCUCAUCUGCACGACCCCUACUCACCCCAAUUCAGCAGGAAGCAGUUAGAGCAGUCGUCGGCCAACCUCCCCAACAGCACUUGGGUUUUCCUGUUGAGGGGGUUACUGAGAGACAGAACUAGCUGGAUUUCCUAGGCCAACUAAGAAUCCCUAAGCCUAGCUGGGAAGGUGAUCACAUCCACUUUUAAACACGGGGUUUGCAACUUAGCUCACACCCGACCAAUCAGGUAGUAAAGAGAGCUCACUAAAAUGCUAAUUAGGCAAAAACAGGAGGUAAAGAAAUAGCAAAAAAUCUAUCGCCUGAGAGCACGCGGGAGGGACAAUGAUUGGGAUAUAAACCCAGGCAUUCGAGUCAGCAAUGUCUACCCUCUUUGGGUCCCCUCCCUUUGUAUGGGAGCUCUGUUUUCACUCUAUUAAAUCUUGCAACUGAAAAAAAAAAUGUGGGGGGGGCGGGUAGAAUUUAUGUAAAAAGAAUGUUAUAUGGUAAAUUCAUGUCCUAAAA
RNAcentral lists this long non-coding RNA (1050 nucleotides) under Homo sapiens (human). RNAcentral describes it as "HSALNT0006285". The record is from RNAcentral. Lineage: Eukaryota; Metazoa; Chordata; Mammalia; Primates; Hominidae.